GAUGAACGCUGGCGGCGUGCUUAAUACAUGCAAGUCGAACGGAAAGGCGCUGCUCUUGUGGGGCGCAUGUGUGGCGAACGGGUGAGUAUCACGCGUGUAACACGCCCCUAUCUGUCGGAUAACAUCUGGGAACUCGGGAUAUUAUACCAGAUAAUAUUUUGCUCCAUGUUGGUGGUAGGUAAGAUUCGGUGGUUGGGGCUGGAAUCGAGGCUUAUCAGCUGGUUGGGGGGGUAGGGGAUGUCCAAGGUUUUGACGGGUAGCCGGCCUUGGAGGGUGACCGGCCUCCAUGGGACUGAGGGACGCCCCAGACUGCAACGGGAGGCAACAGGGGAGAAUAUUGCACAAUGGGCCGACGCCUGAUGCGACAACGCCGCGUGCGGGAUGCCGGCCUUCGGGUUGUAAACCGCUUUCGCCUGUGACGAAGCGUGAGUGACGGUAAUGGGUAAAGAAGCACCGGCUAACUACGUG
RNAcentral lists this ribosomal RNA (468 nucleotides) under uncultured bacterium. RNAcentral describes it as "partial 16S ribosomal RNA". It matches the Rfam family "Bacterial small subunit ribosomal RNA", at positions 28 to 507 of the family's 1533-position model. The record is from RNAcentral.